Non-coding RNA from Elasticomyces elasticus, 143 nucleotides. The record is from the annotation of a GenBank genome assembly. NCBI's taxonomy places the organism in Eukaryota, Fungi, Ascomycota, Dothideomycetes, Mycosphaerellales, Teratosphaeriaceae.
GGCCCCGUGGUGUAGUGGUAGCAUACUUGUAAGGUGAAUUGUUCAGCCGUGUAACGUCUGCUAACAGCCCGAUAGGCUUUGGGAUAUUGUAAAUGCAACAAUCAUAAUGCAAGUGGUCCUGGAUUCGAAUUCCAGCGGGGCCC